Long non-coding RNA from Lineus longissimus, 669 nucleotides. RefSeq lists it as uncharacterized. NCBI's taxonomy places the organism in Eukaryota, Metazoa, Nemertea, Pilidiophora, Heteronemertea, Lineidae. The transcript has 3 exons. The record is from RefSeq and is a predicted model, not a curated record.
UUUAUUCCAACUUCAAUUUAUGUACUACAACACCUAACACAAAAUCGAAGAAGUUCUCAUGUACUCAUUUUUCUUUUACUACAGCUCCAUCAGUUUCAUCAGUCAACCCACUUGAAUUAAGUACCGCCAACUGCCAGGCCACGCUCUUUAAGACUCCUACCAACAAUCAUCACACGAUUAACCACAGCACAGUGUCAGUUCCACCAUCACCAGUUUUUACCAUCAUCAUCAUCCUGCUGCUGUCUCACCAUUAUCUACCAUAUUCCAUCAUCACCAGUUUUCACCCAUUAUUCAACACCAUCAGCCACCUACUUCACUAUUAUCUACCAUAGUAAGUAUCAAUGACCUGACACAAGUCGGGACACCUUCGCAGGAUGAACUUCUCUUCCAACAAAUUAGUGCUAUCAUCUCAAACAUUGUGCCUAACCAUGACCAGUAUCAUACGAUUCAGUACAACAAGAAGCAUUCAAAACUAUUCAUCCAAUUUGCAAAAAUGUCCUCCGAGCCUGCCAUUUUAAUCUACUAUUAUGUGCUUUUACCACACACUAGCCUAGCUUUACACAAUAGCCUCUUUCCUUUACAGAUGACUUCACACGCAGUGCACAGGCCGUUUUAAACCAACUGAAGGACUUUGAGGAAAUGACAAAUGAGAAGUUGUCCUAUGCCCAG